GUGAUGAGGUCAAUCUGACAAUGACACUGGUUUCCCCAUUGAUCCUAGGGUUUAUCAGACUAUCUGGCUGCAUAGGCAAGUGUCUCUUUUCUCCCUCUCUGCUACACACGCACACUUAACAGAAAAGGACAACCUUCCCAGAGAGAAUGUCCUGUUCUUUUUUUUCCCCAAGGGUAAAGGCAACAUCUUUAAUCCAAAAAGAUUUAUCAUGUUAACUGAUGAAAAAAUGAAAUUUUUUUACCUGAUUA
This 248-nucleotide small RNA is filed under the name Propithecus coquereli (Coquerel's sifaka). RNAcentral describes it as "7SK RNA (ENSPCOG00000008724.1)". The stretch from base 1 to 182 matches the Rfam family "7SK RNA". From Rfam's summary of the family: 7SK was discovered as an abundant small nuclear RNA in the mid-70s but a possible function has only recently been suggested. The record is from RNAcentral. Lineage: Eukaryota; Metazoa; Chordata; Mammalia; Primates; Indriidae.